GCCCCGGUAGCCCAGCGGAAGAGGCAAUGGUCUCAAACACCAUACAGCGUGGGUUCGAAUCCCACCCGGGGUA
This 73-nucleotide transfer RNA is filed under the name Kitasatospora aureofaciens. Its description in RNAcentral is "tRNA-Leu". It matches the Rfam family "tRNA". From Rfam's summary of the family: Transfer RNA (tRNA) molecules are approximately 80 nucleotides in length. The record is from RNAcentral. RNAcentral also lists the same sequence under 10 other names. Lineage: Bacteria; Bacillati; Actinomycetota; Actinomycetes; Kitasatosporales; Streptomycetaceae.